GGGGGCGUAAUGGCUUCGACGUGGUAUGAAAGAUGUAGAGAGCAUGCCGAGCUUUUACUUUGUGCUCGUAAAAAAAAGAGUAAAACAAUAAGUGCAAACUUUAGCACAGGUGCGCAAGCACCGCUUGCUUUAGCUUAAGAGUUAAAGCGACUUGCUUGAUCCAUGUGCCUAUUGAUAGAUCAAGCUCGUAUUACCCCUAAUAGGACUGUCAAGCGAGAUUUACUUGGUGAGUAGCUUGAAUGAACACUAACUAGGCGUAUAAAGAGAACGUGUCUUUGAGGACCUUUAUAUGUAUCAAUAAAGACUAAGCAUGUAGCGCUGUAUGUUGAUUGUAGUGCGGACAUGGGUUCGACUCCCAUCGCCUCCACCA
RNAcentral lists this transfer-messenger RNA (370 nucleotides) under Candidatus Babelota bacterium. It matches the Rfam family "transfer-messenger RNA". From Rfam's summary of the family: Bacterial tmRNA, also known as 10Sa RNA or SsrA, is named for its dual tRNA and mRNA-like properties. Its role is to liberate the mRNA from a stalled ribosome. To accomplish this part of the tmRNA is used as a reading frame that ends in a translation stop signal. RNAcentral also lists the same sequence under 1 other name. The record is from RNAcentral.